Molecule: long non-coding RNA, 1486 nt
Filed under: Anas platyrhynchos platyrhynchos (common mallard)
Lineage: Eukaryota; Metazoa; Chordata; Aves; Anseriformes; Anatidae
Description: lncRNA (ENSAPLG00000016628.1)
Source: RNAcentral
AAAAAACCUUGUUCUGUGCCUGCUCUGGGUUGAGAAAAAGCUGUGCAAAUACCAUCCUUACUAGCAGACAAUUGCUAAAGAGCUACUAACCUCUUUGAAAUGACAAUUUGCUCUUUGUUUUGUAUGUUUUCCAGAUGUUACCUGCUGGCUGCAGGCAGAGGGGAAAAAAUAAUGUGAAGAAACUAUUUCAGUAAUUUGCCUGGAAAGCCAGGUGCCUCUCCAAGCAUCUUGAAUCACUUUUAAAAACUUGAGUAGAAAGGGAGCUGGGAUUUCACCAUGGGCAACUGUAAAACAGCAACCAGCUACCAGGCUGUUGUGGGAGGAGGGACUGUUUUGCCCUCAGGGAGAAGCCGAAGCAAGCUGCUCUCCUCUCUGCCCAUCAGCUGCCUGCAAGACCAAAGCACUCCAGCUCAGGUUUUUGGUCUGCUGAAUCUUCUCACAAUUUAUCUAUACAUCUUCAAGCUACAACCCGAGCUCAGACUAAAAAACAGAGAACUGAAAAGCAGGGAACAAGCCUCUGGCCUCCCUGCAUAUGACCUGGAAAGGCGCAAUGCCCCUGGGCAAGCCUGUUUGUUUGAGCAAUCUAAUGGUUUGUUAGGACACCUGGCUUCUCCCAGGGAAACUGGGAGGGUCCAGCAUGAAUAAACAAGCUGGAUCAUCUGCAGCUCUGUUGCUGUCUUGUUGCACUGGACAGAGAGGGCUGCUGCACAGAGCUCACGUUUAGCUGCUGCUCAUGGGCUGCUUGCCUGUACUGGUGCCUAAGAGGAGCUUGGUGCAGCAGUGCCUUCAUGGCUGCAUGUGCUGGGCUGGUGACUGGAGGUUACGCUCACGUGGGGGUAAUAGAAAAACCUUGAUUCAUCAGUCCCCACAGUUCCCACCAUAUCCCCUAGGCACAAAGCCUGCUGUCUCCACCCCUUUGACUCUAGAAAACUUGAUCACCAGAAGGAGGAUUUUCUAGGAAUGUCCCUGGGCACAGAAGGUGGAUGCAGGUCUCCAAGACCAGCUGCACCUGAUGUCAGAGGCAGGGAAAUGGACUUCCACAAGCGUAGGGCUACAGCCAUGGGUCCAGAACCCUGACAAGCAAGAAAACGAUGUUUGGAGACCUGUGGUUGCUGGAAGUAGAGCUUUGACAGGAAUCCCAGCUUGUAUUGCUGUUCAUGAAGGGCUGGCUGCAGGGAAGGAGAAAUGCAUGUGGAGGAGACAGUUUUUCUAGCAUGCCUGGUCAUCAGGAGUGGGCUGGGGUGGCUGAUUGCUCACCUGCUGGUCAUCAAGAACUCUCUGGGGUGGAAAGUGAUGCAGCUGGAGGUCAUGCAUCUGUGUAAAUUUUACAGAUUCAUCUCAUGACUCCUACAUGUUAUCCUUAUCCAGUGUGGGAAUGUGAGUUACAUUUUGAGUAAUCAUCCAGCGCCUGACACCGGUGUUGUUAUGAAAAAUCGACUUAUGGUUCAAAAGCUGACCUCUGUAAUAAAUGGUUUCCUACUUUUCA